Equus caballus (horse) is the source of this 2583-nucleotide long non-coding RNA. Lineage: Eukaryota; Metazoa; Chordata; Mammalia; Perissodactyla; Equidae. The record is from Ensembl.
CCAGUCUAUUCGUUUAAUGAGGAUAGACUGCUAUCUGCUCUAGCCAGGACUGUGCAGGGCACUGGGGACCAAGGGAUCAAUCCGCCCCAUCUCUGCCCUCAAGUGGCUCCCAAUCUGGUGAAGGAGAAGACAAUAAAAGUUACAGUCAAAGAGGGAGACACUAAUUGUUGCAGGAGCUGUGAGCUCACAGAAGCAUAGAACUUAACUGGGGGGUUGGAGAACGUUUACAAGGAAGGGUCAUUUGAGUGGGGUCUUUUUUUUUUAUUUUUAAUGGAAGAUUUUUUUUUUUUCAGAUUUUAUUUUUUUCCUUUUUCUCCCCAAAGCCCCCCCCGUCCAUAGUUGCAUAUUUUAGUUGUGGGUCCUUCUAGUUGUGGCAUGUGGAACGCCGCCUCAGCAUGGCCUGGUGAGCGGUGCCAUGUCCACGCCCAGGAUCCAAAGCGGCGAAAUUCUGGGCCGCCGAAGCAGAGCUCGCGAACUUAACCACUCGGCCACAGGGCUGGCCUCUGAGUGGGGUCUUGAAGGAAAAAUGUUCCUGUACACGCACCCGGAGGCUCUUGCAGGAGGCGGCUGUUGGAGAAACGGGAAAACAAGCCAAGAAACAAGAGAGAGGAAAAAGACCACGCCUCGCCUGGCAGAUUCCUAAUGGCCCAGGAGACCCAGGCUUUACAGUGGGAGGCCGGUGGGGGCUGGCUCUGGUGGGAGGGAAGGGCAGGCCGAAGGACAGUCACUUGCUGACCGGUGACCUUGGGUGGGAUGCUGCCUGCUUCCCCCUGGUGAGAAUGGGAAGGAGGGGACAGGGGCAGAGCUGGCCGGCUGAGGUCACAGGAAGGCCCCUUCCAGCCUGAAAUGCGAUCUCGGGAUGUGGGGCCUGCCAACCUGCAGCGACCCUGGGCCAGCAGAGAUGAAAGGCUGCCUGUCCCCAGCUUCCGGACCCCUGAGGCCCCAGUGCCUCAAACUUGAAGGGCAGCAAAGCUGUUGCAGCUGGCUAGAGCCAGUUGCUGGGCUCCCCACCCCACCUGAUGUCGUCCAACUCUCCCUUCCCUGUUUUGCAGAGGACGCUCUGGCCCAGAGAAGGCUGGUGACCUGCCUGAGGUCACACAGCAAGUUGGAGGCCGAGCCAGGACUCAUCACCACAAAGUCUUUGGACUCAAAAUCCAGGCCUUGUAGCCUUUCCCAGAAACUUGGCUGACUGGGGGCUUACCCUGGGGAGUUGGAGAGACCCAAGGCUAGGGAGGAGAGUUGGGAGCUGUGUCUGUUUGAAGUCACGACUUAAUGUUGACUAAAGCGCCUUUUUUUUUUUUAAGACAAAAAGAACGUUCCAGGCCCCUGCCAUGAGCCUGGACUUGCUCUGCUGGCAGGGGAAGGAAUGCAGCUCUGGCCGCCACAGCUGCUGGUGGCCAGCUGCGGCCUCCACUCCCGCUGCUCCCGCCCCAGCAGGCAAAGGGACAAAGGCCUCUCUUCAGGCCUGUCCCCUCCAGCCCCCUGGAUCGGUGGGGGCAGAGCAUCACCCAGGAGGCUUGGUCACUGACCAGCUAAGUCUCUGUUCCUCUCUGGGCCUUAGUGCCCUUUCUGAAAAAUGGGAGCAGAAUAUCUGCCUGCCCUACUUCUCAGUGCUGUUUUCAGGCUCCAAAGGGGUAAAGUUACAGAAAUAUAGAGCUCUCAGCGCCUCCUUCUGCCUGGGGGUCUGCCUCCUUAUCAACCCUUCUGCCUCAAAUGCCCCUCCUCCCUCCUGCUUUCCCUGGCCAGCCCCAGCUCACUCAGCUCAGCGGGGCCAUCCCUCGCUCUGAGGAGUCUUCCCUCACCUGCAGACUGCCCUGCUCCUUCAGGGUGUUUAUCACUGUUGUAAUUAAAUAAUUAAUUGUGUAAUUGGAUCUGUCUCCCCACUAAAAUGUGAACUCUGUAGUAAUAACAGCUGACACUAAAUGCUUACCUGGUGCCAGAAACUUCACAUGUAUUCACCUGUUUAAUCGCUGUGGCCGGUACUGUUAGUUUCCCCAUCUUACAGAUGAGAAAACUGAGACGAUGAGAGGUUCAGGAACUCACCUGAAGUCACAGCAAUUUGGAGGCUGAGUCAGGACUCCGCACAAAGAAGUUGCAGAACCAGGAUUCAAAUCCAGACCCCAGGCUGUAACCACUACCCCACUAACGAGGCAGGUUCAGCUUGUCGCCCACCUAUCCCCAGCUGCCAGAACAUCUGGCAUACAGUAGGUGCUCCAUAUAUGUCCACCGAAUGAAUACAUAAACAGGGGAUGAACACACGUGAGCAUCUGGAGGAGAAUAAAGCACCCUCCAGGAAUGAGUUUUGCAGGUAUCAUGUGUGGAGCUGAGCCGCGGUGGGGUCGGGGGUGCCCAAUAUGUUGUUAAAGACAUUAUUGGGCUUCUUUCUGGAGCACAGAGGCCAAAAACCGGGACAUCCUUCUUCUCAGGAUGACUCCUCCUUCCACUUCAUCUGCCAGAGUCAAUCAGUGCCCAGGUUCUGCUUCUUGUCUCCCCAAGGCACCCCCUCUUAUCCGUCCCUCAACCCCUAUCUUUUUCUUGGGUUUUUGCAGCAACUUGUGCACAGGUGUCUGUCUCUAAUUUCUC